Molecule: long non-coding RNA, 2739 nt
Filed under: Sus scrofa (pig)
Lineage: Eukaryota; Metazoa; Chordata; Mammalia; Artiodactyla; Suidae
Description: lncRNA (ENSSSCG00035001013.1)
Source: RNAcentral
GAGUGGGGAGAGGGAUUCCUAAGAACAUCUUGCUUCCAGGUGCCCCUGUGAGUAACCUGUCCUGUCCAUUGCCCCUCCGCCUGUACCCAGAUAAAUCUGGUCCUAUCAGAUGGCUACAGAUAUCCUGCUUUUACAAAUGAGAAAACUGAAGCUCAGGAAAGGGAAAUGACUUGCCUCCGUGUGUGUAACUGGUCGGACCUGGACUGUCUGGUUUCCAGACCCAAUUCAGAAAACACCACGCUUCAACAAAGUCUAAAGCUCGUAAUGAAGAAGCCAUAGAUCUGGGAUCUGAGAAGGAUGAACCCACGACCUUCAGGGAAGUGGCCAGGAAGCCGCGAGUUUAAGGGAACCAAACAGAUCCUGUGGUCUGAGCCACUUGCCUGUACUUAUCUCAAUCGGAAGGAACAGUGUGAAGGACCGGGGAGAUAUCUUCCCUUCCCUAGAAAUUAGGUUGGCCUUACUGCUUAACAUCAACCAAGAGGAAAGAGUGAAAGUGAUGCUGCCUGACGUGAAAAAAGUCAGAAGACCUGUUUCUCCUGCCUUGGUCUCCUGGAGCACUCUCUUCCUGAAUACUACAUUUAGAGCUGCUCCCUGUCAGAACUCAGCUAUUAUGAUGUGGGGAGCCCCUGUUACAAGGUGACGCUGCUCCUCUGGCCGCAGAUGAUUGGUCCAGUUACCUGAGCCAAUUAGACCAAGCAGAGGCAGUCCCUUGGAGACUGGAACCUGGAAAUAAUAAAGGAAGAGAGCCUGUCCUUUGCUGGUAGUGAGAGAAGUUCAGAUAUCUGGAUGGAAAGGAGCUACCUCUGAACCUGAUGAAGAAGCAACAGGGAACCACUCAGUUACCUGGACUUCAAGCUGAACGUGGGUGAAUAUCUGUCUCCUGGAAUAGAUGACAGCGGGUUCUUCUGGGAGAAUGCAUUAGGGAGGUUGAAGUCUGAGCUCCUUAGCAUGAUGUGAUGGACCGACCUAGCAUGAUCUGACUUCUGCUGAUGGCUCCAACUUCACCCCCAACCCAGACCAACUAAAAGGUCAUAAGAGAGGUCUCCGUUAAGCUGAUACAAGAAGAAGAAGAAGAGAGAGGAAUUUAUUAAUGGACUCAUCCCAGAAGGGUCGUAUAUAACUUCCAUUCACAUCUCAUCGAGCCCAACAGUCACUGGGCCACACCUGGAUUUAAAGGAACAGGAGGAGUCAUGGUCUAGGUGUAGGUUAGAGAAAAAGGGGAGGUCACAUAUGUUGGUGAACCUUGGGGUCUCCAGCAUGGUAGAGUACAUGUAGUGGUGGGGGAGCUUUUGGUCAUUGUUCUUCCAUCCAUUCCUUUGAUACAGGAUUUCUCUAUGUGGGCACUGCUGACACCUCGGGCUGGACAAUUCUUUGUUACACAGGGAUGUCCUGUGUGUUGUAGGAUGUUUCCCAGCUUUUCGGGUCUCUACCUUCUAGAUGUCAGUAAACCCCUCCACCCCCUCCAAUCAUGUCAAUUAAAAAUAUCUCCAAAUAGUUCCAUGUGUUAUGUGGGGGAGGGGGGUGUCCCUAGUUUGAUGUGCUGUUUCUUUACUGAGUGUUUCCUGAAGGCGGUGAAAUAUCUCUUAUUUGCUAAAGUGGUAAUGUUACAGAAUUUCUUGAUUCAAAGAUAUCAGGAAUUUAUAUUUUUCCUGAUUCUUUAUUCACAACAGUACCCCUAGUAUCACACUAGUGAGAAACCAAUGGAAGAAACCAGAUCUUAUCUUAAUUUUUAGCCCAUUUAUAUGCCUGCACAUAAUAUUUAUCUCUUUGCUCAUCUCCCUGGAUCUCUUAUGAUCAAUAAUAUGCCUGUAGAUUAAUUUCUGUUUUUAAUCCUUGUUCGGUCAUCUUACUCUGGAAUACUGAAUCUACUUUCCCACAACCUUUGAAUCUGUAGGCCUAGACUGAGUUUCAGCCUUUCUUCUCUUUUUGACAGGGAACAAGAAUCAUACAAGAACCAAAAGGAUCAUAUACCAGAAAUAUCAAAAAUUGACUCUCGUGCUGUAGUGACCACAACCUGCACUCCUGCUGACAUCAUUAAUGAAUCAGAAUACUCUCCUCCUGAGCCUGGAGCCCACCUCAGAAUCCAGGAAGCAACUGAGGCAGUUGAUAGAUUGAACAGGAUUGUAAAAAGAGAUUCAAAUUAUUUGGUCUCCAAGCUCUGGUCAUUUUUAGAGCUACAGAAACUGAAAACCAGGUGAUGAAAAGGAGUGCCCAGGCCACCUGGAGUUUUGGUCUUCUGACCUCGUGUUUCUUCGCCUGUCCCUCAUUUAUGAAUCAAGGAGGCUUGUCCAAGCCCAGUGACUUGCUUGGAAGUAGAGCCUUGAAAAGUGUGCUAAAAAUAAGAGUAUUGCUUAGAAUGGUGGGGGUGAACUUGAGUUUAACCAGAUUCUCUUUUCUUUGCUUUUUGAGCAACAAAGAAUACUCCUGUGUGUUGCACAAAGAUUGGAGAGGCUAUAAUAAUCCCUGCCACCAUGACUUUUAAGAGAUCAAAGAAAAUUCUGAGUGGUACCUAAAUGUCCAAAUUUAAAAUUCAAGAAAAAAAUAAGCAGCAGCACAUAAAAACUUUUCUGCAGCAGCCUGCAGGAAGGGUAAAUAUGGCAUGUAUAUUUGAAUGAAAGAAUUUGAGAUUCAGUCUUAGCCAGCCUUUUUAGGAAAAAAAAAAAGUCAGGGUCUGAUGGGAAAUAAAAAGCUGUUUAUGUUUUAUCGUUUGUAUACAAUAAAAUACACUGGGAAGAAAAA